Molecule: unclassified non-coding RNA, 4199 nt
Filed under: Hevea brasiliensis (rubber tree)
Lineage: Eukaryota; Viridiplantae; Streptophyta; Magnoliopsida; Malpighiales; Euphorbiaceae
Source: RNAcentral
UUGCUUUUUUUUUUUUUCUUCCCCUCUUUCUUUUUCUUGUUUAUCAUUUGAGCUGUGCUUCGGAAUUAUGGAUUUUCUAAAUUAGGUGUAGUUAUAACUAUGUUCUUGUGAUUAUUUUGCAUUUUGUAUUUAGUUUUACAUUUACUUCUCGUUUUCUAAUCUUGGAAUAUUUAAAAUUACUCUAUAAGUUGUAUCAGUUGAGUUCAGCUCAUAAAAUGAUUGCAGUUGUGAUGAUCGUUCAGACUUUAUAUCUGUACUAAAUGUGUCACAUAACUUAUAUCUGUCUGCCAAAUAUGGUUAGUCUCGAUAAGAAAGGACCUCUGUAAUUUCUAAUUUAAUUAUCCCAAUAUCUCUCAUGAGAUGAAGUUACACGGGUAUAGAUUUGCAUGCUAGUCUACAUUAGUGCUUGAAUGUGUGCGUUUGGCACAUUAGGGUUGUCAAGUUUAAACCGAGUAUAAUUUGGUCUUGGGAAGAGAGAUUCUAGGUCUAUUUUCAAUCUAAUGUACAGUUGGAUAAGAGAUGUGUAUCCUAUUAUACAAGAGCUAGUGGUACUUCCUUGAAUACCUUUGACCUUCUCAUGUUUUACUCUGAACACCCAUCGUCCUAUUCUCUUCUUCUAGGCUCUUCAAAUCAAUGCUCGUCUUUUGUUGGGUUGCUGCCAAUUUUUGUUCAUUUUAGUGAAUUUCUGUAAAAGUCUUGUAUUUUUUCAUGCUUAUAUUGAAUUCCAAGAAUACUACCUGUUUGUCGUUGUCGUUAGUGCACCAAGCUGACCAAAUUUGUGGAAGCGAAAGAAAAUAAUCUUAGUUGUUCUUAUCAUUUUUUUUCUGCCUGAUAUUAGAAUGAUAUAGUUUUUUUGUUGUGGCUUAGUGGCUGUAAACCUAAAAUAUUUAUUCUGGUUUCUUGUAUAAAUAUUUCAAAUGGUAGCUUAUUGAAUGAGGGCCUGUGAUAGCUUUCUUUAACCCUAGUAUGACUUUGGAUGACCUUAGCAUCAACUAGGUUUAGAUUGUUUUUCUUAUGAUGCAGGUUUAAUGGUCUGAUGGUGUUUACUGUUGGUCACAUCUUUGAUUUUGAACUAAAGGAUGAAUGAAUGUCAAAGUCCAUGGUUGCAGGUAAGAAGUUUUAAUGAUGCUUGUUCUCUCUUCCAAUCUUUAUCCCUAGUAGCUUUUUAGAUAUCGGCCAAGUGGGUCAAUAUCAGUUCGGUCAAGGUUAUGUUUUCAUCAUAUUUGAAUCCUAAAUUUCUGAAAUUGUCUUGCCACGAUGUCAUCUAUAUUUCAAGUUUUUAUUUCCUGACUUCUACUGGUUUUUGUUCCCAGACUUCAUCUGUGUUAUAUAAUUGGCUUCCUACAAUUUACCUUUGGAACUUAUAGGAUGUUGAAUAUCGUGUUAACUUAGUUUUAGCUAUUUUUGGUCAUACAUUCUGAAUUGCAAAUGGUGUUGCAGGCACUUUGUGGUUAUUCGGCAAUUGAAGGGCAGAAUUGAAUUUAAAUCCUGUGUUCUCUUCAGAAUAGAGUAGCUCAAUCUGCUGUCUGUCUUGCAGUUAUAUAAGUUGCCUCAUUCUGGAGAGCAAUGUAUAUGGUAUUAAAGAUUUCCAAUACCACUUUAAAGAAUUAUUUAGAUCUUAUUAGUUUGCAAAUCAUUUUUGCUAUGGGAUCAUCUGAUUCCACAGUUGGAGCCUGUACUGUUUAUUGCAAUAAAAAAGAAAUUUGCAUGGCUAGAGUUGAGGAUCAUGAUUGAUAGACUUAUUUGUUUCCUAUUAUGAUUAAUGAUGCCAAAUAUUUCAUACAGAUUGUCAUGGGAAAUCUAGGAAGUGGCAUUAAUAUGAAGGGGCUAGUUAUAACCCGCUAUGUGAUUCCUUUGGUGUGCAGUGUGUGGGAAUGAAGGUUGAUUUUCAGAAGUUCUGUUUGAGUGGUAGUCAUCUUUUUGUUCACCCUUUGCUGCUAUAUUGAGUUUCAUUAUGUUUUGUCUGGAAGUUGAGAAGUAGUAAUUCAGGAUUGGAUCCAUUAAUGUAUGUGGCUCAGGGGACAUCAUCUAGAUAAUCUGCAGACAUCAUCUAGAUAAUCUGCAGCUUGCAUUUUGAGCUAUUAUGAGAUGUGAUAUCCUAGAAUUUUCUGGUGGGAAGAAUUGAAAUGGUGUGGCCUUAUUGUUGUAUUGACUUGUUUUCUCUGGUGAUGGAUGGUGGCAUAAUUUUGGGAUUACUAUUAGUGCUGCGGUCUGCAUUAGUUGCCUCCAGAUACAUUAUGAUUUACACAUUGGUUGCAGAGCAUUAGGUGGCAGUAAUCUUACUUGUAGGGGAAACCAAUAACUAAAAGCAUGGAGAUGCUAAUUUUUAUAUAGUUGAAGUUUAAGGCUUGGUGCCUUCAGGUUUCCUUAGGUUGUGAGCACGGAGGGGAGACUUGUACAUAACAUCUAUGAUGGAAAUCAAAGUCCAAUGCUCAUAAAUUUCACUUCCUAGAUGGAGGGCAUUUGAUAUUCUUGACCGGAGAGCUGAUCGCUUAUUAAUAACUCUGCUGCUGACAAGGUUUUUUUGUGGCUGUGUGCUAAGGAACAAUUAUGAGACUUGGGCCUUAUGAGAGUGCCCCUUUGCAUUUUAGGACAUCGUUAUGACCCAUCUCCAAGAGACUUUAUAAACAUGUGUCUGAAGCUUGUGUCUUCUCCAGAGAUUGGCAUAUGCUUUUCCAGGGUUCAUAUAUCCCUUGAUUUUUGUAUCAUAAAAACUAAAUUGGUGAAAAUUUCUGAUACUGUCAGAUAAGGAACAUCUACAUGUUAGUUUGUAGAGAAAAUUUUGAAUAUAAUUAGGGGGAAGAUUUCAUCUUAACGUGUAAACUUACAAUUACCCUGGACAAGCAACUUCAAGUUUAUUUGGGGAAUAUGUUUUGAGCAUUGGGAACUACAUGUGGGCUUAUAAUGGUGUUUUGUUGGAUAAAAAUUUAAUCCUUUUUUGGGUUGGCUGUCUAUACAUUAAAAUAAUAUAUCUUAUUUAUUGCCUCUUUUAGGUGCUUUUACCACCAUUCUUCCUUGCUCUGAUUGUCCCAUUUAUGUAACCAGCAUUGAUUUUGUAAUGCAUUUUUCUUUUCAAUACUUCUCUUAUAAAGUAAUGUUUUUGACUCCAAAGUUUGCAAUGAGUAAUACUCGAAGAAAUUUUUGAAUCUACUAUAGUAGAGAUAUUGUGGGAACUUGAUAGAACUAUUGAAAAAAAGAAUUUUAUAAGAAGCUUAAAAGUGUUUUAUUUAUUUAUUUAUUUGUUUUUCUCACUGAUGUUCUCACAGGAGUGAUUUUGAACAAAUUAUAUUGCAGUGCUUCUGUUUUUGUCAAUGGAUCAAUUUUUUACUUUAUUCUCUUCCUUUUUUUUAAUGAAAAAUUAAAUUCUGUAGAAAAUUUCUACAUUUGGAACUUUUAGUGAAUAACUACAAUGGUUUAUUUGUGAAUUAUUCAUGUGCUCAACAAGCUGCACUUCUUGGCUAUUAUUUGUUCUGAGAAUUCAACCAUUUUAUUACCAAAAUGAACUUUUAUGGUGCAGUUAACUUACAAAAUACAGGUGAUGACAGCAAACUUAAGUCUAAAUUAUUUUCUUUGAUCUUAGGCGAGAAAUAUUCAUAUCUAGUUAUAAGGUUUCUAACAAUACGAAUUUGGAAUUAAACCCUUUAGGAUUUUUUUAUCAUUGAUGUGAAAUGCAAGAAGAAGAUGGUGAUUGAAGUAAAACAAACUACUAGGCAUUGGCUUGGCUCAGAUGUUGAAGGUAAAGAAAUGAAAGAUUCAUUUCCUUUUACUUUCAAAAAAUGAGAAAGUUGGGUUUCUCUAUCACUAUGUCCUCCCCUUAUUUUCUCUUCUUCCUAAUGCCCUCUUGAGUCCUUAUGCAUGUGUUGAUUAUUCAGUUAUUUAGAAUUAUCUCUUCUCCCACAAUUAGUUAGAAAGCACUUGGGGGUUUUAGUUUCCAUUAUAUCUUUUCCUUUUCAUCACACUUUUACUCAAUUUGUUUUAGACUUGUCCGCAUAUCCUUACAAUCCUAAUGUACCAUGAAAUUAGGCGAACAUGAAAUACAUCUACAAUGUUUCUGUUUUAACUUUAAAUUGUCUUAUGUUCCUGUCCAAGAUGUCUUUGAGACUACCAUCUCAGUAGGCGUCUUUUUCACAUGAUAGUACUCAAAUGCAUAUGUUUCUUUUACUGUUGUCAUUAUGUUUCAGAAUUCUGAUUUUCCUGGU